AGUGAACGCUGGCGGCAGGCCUAACACAUGCAAGUCGAGCGGCAGCGCGGGUGUAGCAAUACAUCUGGCGGCGAGCGGCGGACGGGUGAGGAAUACAUCGGGAAUUUACCCAAUCGUGGGGGAGUAACGUAGGGAAACUUACGCUAAUACCGCAUGAACUGGAGACAGCAAAGACGGCGGACCGAAAGGCGUCGCGCGGUUGGAUGAGCCGAUGUCGGAUUAGCAGUUGGCGGGGUAAAGGCCCACCAAGGCGACGAUCCGUAGCUGGUCUGAGGGGAGUGAUCAGCCACACUGGAACUGAGACACGGUCCAGACUCCUACGGAGGCAGCAGUGGGAAUAUUGGACAAUGGGCGCAAGCCUGAUCCAGCCAUGCCGCGUGUGUGAAGAAGGCCU
RNAcentral lists this ribosomal RNA (394 nucleotides) under uncultured bacterium. RNAcentral's name for it is "bacterial SSU rRNA". It matches the Rfam family "Bacterial small subunit ribosomal RNA", at positions 30 to 417 of the family's 1533-position model. The record is from RNAcentral.